This 301-nucleotide ribosomal RNA is filed under the name uncultured bacterium. RNAcentral describes it as "partial 16S ribosomal RNA". It matches the Rfam family "Bacterial small subunit ribosomal RNA", at positions 509 to 807 of the family's 1533-position model. The record is from RNAcentral.
CAGUCGCCGCGGUAAUACGAAGGGGGCUAGCGUUGUUCGGAUUUGCUGGGCGUAAAGGGCGCGUAGGCGGACUGAUAAGUCAGGGGUGAAAUCCCAAGGCUCAACCUUGGAACUGCCUUUGAUACUGUUUGUCUUGAGUUCGAGAGAGGUAAGUGGAACUGCGAGUGUAGAGGUGAAAUUCGUAGAUAUUCGCAAGAACACCAGUGGCGAAGGCGGCUUACUGGCUCGAAACUGACGCUGAGGCGCGAAAGCGUGGGGAGCAAACAGGAUUAGAUACCCCAGUAGUCCCUGUCUCUUAUAC